RNAcentral lists this ribosomal RNA (842 nucleotides) under uncultured bacterium. RNAcentral's name for it is "bacterial SSU rRNA". It matches the Rfam family "Bacterial small subunit ribosomal RNA", at positions 8 to 796 of the family's 1533-position model. The record is from RNAcentral.
AGAGUUUGAUCAUGGCUCAGGAUGAGCGCUGGCGGCGUGCCUAAUACAUGCAAGUCGAGCGGAAAGGCUCAGCACUAUUUACUUAACCGAGACAGGGCCCGGCCACGAAAUGGACGGAUCUUCACCGAAACGAUGAGCGUCUCAUAGGUCGAGUAAAGAGUGCUGAGUACUCGAGCGGCGGACGGCUGAGUAACGCGUAGGAACGUACCCCAAAGUGAGGGAUAACUGCUCGAAAGAGUGGCUAAUACCGCAUGUGAUCUACGGAUUAAAGCUUUAUGCGCUUUGGGAACGGCCUGCGUCCGAUUAGCUAGUUGGUGAGGUAAAAGCUUACCAAGGCGACGAUCGGUAGCUGGUCUGAGAGGAUGAUCAGCCAGACUGGGACUGAGACACGGCCCAGACUCCUACGGGAGGCAGCAGUAGGGAAUUUUCCACAAUGGGCGAAAGCCUGAUGGAGCAACGCCGCGUGCAGGAUGAAUGCCUUCGGGUUGUAAACUGCUUUUAAUAGUGACGAUUAUGACGGUAACUAUUGAAUAAGGACCUGCUAACUACGUGCCAGCAGCCGCGGUCAUACGUAGGGUCCAAGCGUUAUCCGGAAUUACUGGGCGUAAAGAGUUGCGUAGGUGGCAUAGUAAGCAAAUAGUGAAAGCGUGUGGCUCAACCAUACAUCCAUUAUUUGAACUGCUAAGCUUGAAGAUGAGAGAGGUAGAUGGAAUUCCUAAUGUAGGGGUAAUAUCCGUAGAUAUUAGGAGGAACACCGAUGGCGUAGGCAGUCUACUGGCUCAUUCUUGACACUAAGGCACGAAAGCGUGGGGAGCAAACAGGAUUAGAUACCCUAGUAGUCC